GACCGCUCCGGUGACUUAGUGGUUAGAGCGUCCGCCUCGGAUUCGGAAGGUCGCGGGUUAAAACCCCAGGCUGAGUCA
Molecule: non-coding RNA, 78 nt
Organism: Potamilus streckersoni
Lineage: Eukaryota; Metazoa; Mollusca; Bivalvia; Unionida; Unionidae
Source: the annotation of a GenBank genome assembly